GCCCCGUUGGACUUCCGGUGAGGUCCUCGGCCCUUCAAGCCGAAGAGGCGGGUUCACUCUGAGCGGCGAAGCCGCUCAGGACGCAGCUUGCUGCGGGCCGCAGGCCUGGCGCAGGGCGCCAGCACUCCCGCACGGGGUACCA
This 142-nucleotide transfer RNA is filed under the name Roseateles saccharophilus. RNAcentral describes it as "tRNA-Glu". Lineage: Bacteria; Pseudomonadati; Pseudomonadota; Betaproteobacteria; Burkholderiales; Sphaerotilaceae. The record is from RNAcentral.